AGUGAACGCUGGCGGUAGGCUUAACACAUGCAAGUCGAACGGUAGCACAGGAGAGCUUGCUCUCUGGGUGGCGAGUGGCGGACGGGUGAGGAAUACAUCGGAAUCUACUCUGUCGUGGGGGAUAACGUAGGGAAACUUACGCUAAUACCGCAUACGACCUACGGGUGAAAGCAGGGGAUCUUCGGACCUUGCGCGAUUGAAUGAGCCGAUGUCGGAUUAGCUAGUUGGCGGGGUAAAGGCCCACCAAGGCGACGAUCCGUAGCUGGUCUGAGGGGAUGAUCAGCCACACUGGAACUGAGACACGGUCCAGACUCCUACGGGAGGCAGCAGUGGGGAAUAUUGGACAAUGGGCGCAAGCCUGAUCCAGCCAUACCGCGUGGGUGAAGAAGGCCUUCGGGUUGUAAAGCCCUUUUGUUGGGAAAGAAAUCCAGCUGGCUAAUACCCGGUUGGGAUGACGGUACCCAAAGAAUAAGCACCGGCUAACUUCGUGCCAGCAGCCGCAGUAA
This 506-nucleotide ribosomal RNA is filed under the name uncultured bacterium. RNAcentral describes it as "partial 16S ribosomal RNA". It matches the Rfam family "Bacterial small subunit ribosomal RNA", at positions 29 to 523 of the family's 1533-position model. The record is from RNAcentral.